Molecule: transfer RNA, 71 nt
Filed under: Scinax tsachila
Lineage: Eukaryota; Metazoa; Chordata; Amphibia; Anura; Hylidae
Description: partial tRNA-Gln
Source: RNAcentral
UUAGAGAGGUAGGAAUCGAACCUACAACUAAAAGACCAAAACUUUUUGUAUUUCCAUUUUACUACUCCCUA